This 107-nucleotide small RNA is filed under the name Marmota monax (woodchuck). Lineage: Eukaryota; Metazoa; Chordata; Mammalia; Rodentia; Sciuridae. The record is from RNAcentral.
GCUGGGUGUGGUGGAGCACUCCUGUAAUUCCAGCAACUCAGGAGACUGAGGCAGGAGGAUUGCAAGUUCCAGGUCAGUCUCAGAGACUUAGCAAGAUCCCAUCUCAA